This 72-nucleotide transfer RNA is filed under the name Bos taurus (domestic cattle). It matches the Rfam family "tRNA". From Rfam's summary of the family: Transfer RNA (tRNA) molecules are approximately 80 nucleotides in length. Their secondary structure includes four short double-helical elements and three loops (D, anti-codon, and T loops). Lineage: Eukaryota; Metazoa; Chordata; Mammalia; Artiodactyla; Bovidae. The record is from Rfam by way of RNAcentral. RNAcentral also lists the same sequence under 3 other names.
UCCCUGAUAGCUCAGAUGGUAAAGAAUCUGCCUGCAAUGCAGAAGACCUGGGUUCGAUCCCUGGCUUUGGAA